Molecule: long non-coding RNA, 2107 nt
Filed under: Amborella trichopoda
Lineage: Eukaryota; Viridiplantae; Streptophyta; Magnoliopsida; Amborellales; Amborellaceae
Description: long non-coding RNA (ATRI_LNC000360)
Source: RNAcentral
GACAUACAAGUUUUUUUUUAUAUAUGAUUGGGUGCAUGAGGAGCCUUAGGGACUUUCAAUCCUUGUUACAAAUUUACAUCAAACCUCUAUACAAAUUUGAAAAUCUUUGAUUCGGGCCUCUAUACAAAUUUGAAAAUCUUUGAUUCAGGACUCGAGGUAUACGAACUCAAGAAAAGAGAAAUAUACAGAGAACCUGAGAAAGUAUCAAUACUACGUGGCGCAUAUGCCCCGUAUGCCUGUCUAUAGGCAGGGAUGCUGCCUAUCUUUCUGCUCCUUCCUGAAUCUAGGCCUUGAAUGAGUCUGAUUGUCACGUGUUCUUCCUCUCUUUCUUUAGAUCCACAUAUUGCAGAGACAACAAUGUUAUUGGUAGCUACUCUCUGUACGUGUGCAAGGAUCUCUUAUGGCUCCUUAACAGUCACCAUGUGAGACUCAGUCAGUUUUGUCCAAAUUCGCAUUCGCAUUCUCCAUAAGGUUGCUUCUUGUUGCGCCUCGCUGCUCUAUGGUAUAAGGACUACAUGCAUGGGGCUGCAAUGAGAAGGCAACUUGAUCUCCACUUCAAGCUGCUGCUAAUGGUAUGGUCUUCACUUGGGACGAUCUUGCCUCUGCGGUCUUUGGGAAACAACCAGCUUUCUUGACUACUGGAGGCAUGCAGUCCUUGGGGCUGCCAAUCUUUUUUGCAAUCUUGCAUGAGAUUUUUAGGCCAGGGACUGUCCUAGAUGAGGGCUCUAUUUCCAAAUCUUUAGGCGCUAUGUCUUCGUGAUUCGAGCCGCGAGAUUGGGUUGCUAUCAAGCCAACCACUUCUGGUUAUAGCCUACCACAUCAAGAGGCCAAGGCUUGGGCCAUUUUCACGGUCUUUAGCUGAGAUCCCUUUGCUGUCCCUCACUGCCCCAUUGGAGAUGUGAGUAUAACUCGCAUGGGGCUGCCAUGAGAAGGCAACUUGAUCUCAAUUUCUGGCUGUUAUAGAGGCUUGGUCGUCACUUGCCACCCUCUCAUCUGUGUAGUCUUUAAGAAGUAGCCUGUUGUCUUGACUGCUGGAGGCACACAAUUGUUGGGGACAAUAGGCUUUUCGGACAAAGAACACCUCAUAGGUGUCCCUACUUAUCUGUAAGGGAUCGAAAUGGCGCAAGUCAUAAAAUGUUGAACUGUAGAGGCUAUGAGCGAAGCUUCGAACACCUGUGUGAAGACACAGCGGAAUGAUCCACAGAGGGAGAGAGGACCUUCUUAUAAAGCCCAUUUAAUGGAGAGAAAAAAAAUAUUUGGAAUUCCAAAACUCAACUCUAGAUGAAAGGUGAACUCCUUCAUGAUGGAGUUACUAGAAAAUUGUUUCCCCAAAAAUGUGUAGGUGACGAUUAUGUAAUUAUGACUGCAAAAUUCAAGGAACAAUUCGCCCUGUGAAUUUCAUAGAAUGGAAAUUCAAGGGUUUUUACAUAUGAUUGGACUCGUGGGGAGUUCUAGGGACUUUCAAUUACUGGUACAAUUUGUUGGCCCACAUAGAGUGAAUCUUUAAGAUUUUCAUACGUAAAUAGAGUUAUAUCAACAUGCAAGAUGGGUUUUGAACUCAGUCAAAAAUAUCCACAAACAUAUGGCAUGCAAUUCUUAUCAAAAUACCCACAAAGAGUUACUGUAAAUUCUUUGGAACUCAAGAGGAUGUACAAAUGUCUCUAACUUUGUAAUCUACUAAAGAAUCUCAACCAAAAAUCAAUUGCAAUUAUUGAUAAGUUCUUCUAAGCAAUCUCAAUAGAAUUCCAGCAAGCAUGCACUCAUCAUAAAUCAUUUCAACAAUAUAAAAUAAUGUCUAAUACCUUUUUCCUUGCUCAUACAAUAUUUCUUAACCGUUUUUUAGUAUUUCUAGAUGCAAAGGAUGAAAAAGAAAGUUGGAACAAACUCACCAAAUUUAUAUGAAUUUGUAGGCACACUUUGAUAGCUUUUCUAGAGAGCGAAUGUAGAUGAAAAUGAGGUUUAUAGCAAUAUAUAGCACAAAAUAAAAUACAAGUUUCAACACUGGAGGGCUCUCACAGAUGAGAGGCACGUCCCUUGCAUUCAUUUCACAAUGAAGCAUAAGAGAGAGAAAGACGGUUUUAGGGAGAAAAAAAGAGCUCGUGCUUGG